RNAcentral lists this ribosomal RNA (419 nucleotides) under bacterium. Its description in RNAcentral is "partial 16S ribosomal RNA". It matches the Rfam family "Bacterial small subunit ribosomal RNA", at positions 355 to 776 of the family's 1533-position model. The record is from RNAcentral.
UGGGGGAUAUUGCACAAUGGGCGAAAGCCUGAUGCAGCUACGCCGCGUGGGGGAUGAAGGCCUUCGGGUUGUAAACUUCUUUUGCUCUGAACAAGGCAUGCUAAUGGGUGUGUUGAGUGUAGGGGUUGAUUAGCGCCGGCUAACUACGUGCCAGCAGCCGCGGUAAUACGUAGGGCGCGAGCGUUGUCCGGAAUUAUUGGGCGUAAAGGGCUUGUAGGUGGCUGGUUGCGUCUGUCGUGAAAGCUCAUGGCUUAACUGUGGGUUUGCGGUGGGUACGGGCUGGCUUGAGUGCAGUAGGGGAGGCUGGAAUUCCUGGUGUAGCGGUGGAAUGCGCAGAUAUCAGGAGGAAUACCGGUGGCGAAGGCGGGUCUCUGGGCUGUUACUGACACUGAGGAGCGAAAGCAUGGGGAGCGAACAGG